This 449-nucleotide ribosomal RNA is filed under the name uncultured bacterium. RNAcentral describes it as "bacterial SSU rRNA". It matches the Rfam family "Bacterial small subunit ribosomal RNA", at positions 330 to 795 of the family's 1533-position model. The record is from RNAcentral.
CCCAGACUCCUACGGGAGGCAGCAGUGGGGGAUAUUGCACAAUGGGGGAAACCCUGAUGCAGCGACGCCGCGUGUGGGAAGACGGUCUUCUGGAUUGUAAACCACUGUCCCCAGGGACGAAAAUGACGGUACCUGGGGAGGAAGCUCCGGCUAACUACGUGCCAGCAGCCGCGGUAAUACGUAGGGGGCAAGCGUUAUCCGGAUUUACUGGGUGUAAAGGGAGCGUAGACGGCAAUACAAGUCGGAAGUGAAAUACCCGGGCUUAACCUGGGAACUGCUUUGGAAACUGUAUGGCUGGAGUGCUGGAGAGGUAAGCGGAAUUCCUAGUGUAGCGGUGAAAUGCGUAGAUAUUAGGAGGAACACCAGUGGCGAAGGCGGCUUACUGGACAGUAACUGACGUUGAGGCUCGAAAGCGUGGGGAGCAAACAGGAUUAGAUACCCCAGUAGAU